This 532-nucleotide unclassified non-coding RNA is filed under the name Hevea brasiliensis (rubber tree). Lineage: Eukaryota; Viridiplantae; Streptophyta; Magnoliopsida; Malpighiales; Euphorbiaceae. The record is from RNAcentral.
GUACGCAAGAAUCCAUUUGCCGUUAAGCAGAGACAGGGCCUCAGUAGGAGCAGGUGUUGGAUUCUUCGCUUCGAGUUGCGUAAUCAGCUCGACAAUCUCCGCCCUAGUUUCGCUAGAAGCUUGUAAUCCACGAUCGGUUCCGUCAAACGAGUCCACCAACGCCUUCUUCAGUUUAUAAAUCUCCGAUGGCUCAAGAGGCUUUUCCUCUUCCUCUUCAGCUACUGCCACAGCCGGACCAUCUCCAUACGGCUCGUCCUUCUCCGCGCCCCACUCGUCAUCGUUUACCACCGCACGGACCUUGAACGCAGGUCUGGCUGAGAUCGGUGACUUCCCCGUCGCGGCUCUGACGCCGGCCCCAAUCGAACCGAUGGGGAAAAUCGAGGGCUUAGAAAUCAAUUGAGGCUGCGGUGGAUUCAGUGAGAGAGUCUUGCACGGAAGUUGAUUGAAUUGAGAAACAAACGCCAUCGAUUUCUCCCCAAUUCCCUAAAUCAGACAAACAAACACAAAGCACAAAGUGAAAGAUGGAGACUCA